GAUGAACGCUGGCGGCGUGCCUAAUACAUGCAAGUCGAGCGAACAGACGAGGAGCUUGCUCCUCUGACGUUAGCGGCGGACGGGUGAGUAACACGUGGAUAACCUACCUAUAAGACUGGGAUAACUUCGGGAAACCGGAGCUAAUACCGGAUAAUAUAUUGAACCGCAUGGUUCAAUAGUGAAAGACGGUUUUGCUGUCACUUAUAGAUGGAUCCGCGCCGCAUUAGCUAGUUGGUAAGGUAACGGCUUACCAAGGCGACGAUGCGUAGCCGACCUGAGAGGGGUGUCGGCCCAGCCUGGAGUUGACACCCGGCCCAACCCCCACCGGGAGCACACGGAGGGAAUUCUUCAGAAUGGGCCGAAACCCGGCCGGGCCCCGCCCGCGGGUGAAAGAAGGUUUUAGGUAUCAAAAAACUUUUUUAUAAGAAAAGAACAAAUUGUUAAUAAACUUUACCCUUCUUCGGGUUACCUAAAGAGAAACCCAGAACAAACCCCGUA
This 498-nucleotide ribosomal RNA is filed under the name uncultured bacterium. Its description in RNAcentral is "partial 16S ribosomal RNA". It matches the Rfam family "Bacterial small subunit ribosomal RNA", at positions 28 to 507 of the family's 1533-position model. The record is from RNAcentral.